GGAUGGGUGGCCGAGUGGUUUAAGGCACUAGUCUUGAAAACUAGCGUAGGCGCAAGUCUACCGUGAGUUCGAAUCUCACCCCAUCCACCA
This 90-nucleotide transfer RNA is filed under the name Alphaproteobacteria bacterium. RNAcentral's name for it is "tRNA-Ser". It matches the Rfam family "tRNA". Rfam says of the family: Transfer RNA (tRNA) molecules are approximately 80 nucleotides in length. Their secondary structure includes four short double-helical elements and three loops (D, anti-codon, and T loops). The record is from RNAcentral. Lineage: Bacteria; Pseudomonadati; Pseudomonadota; Alphaproteobacteria.